GCCUGGAUGGCUCAGUGGGUUAGAGCAUGGUGCUUAUAACACCAAGGUUGCAGGUUCAAUCCCCAUGUGGGACA
Molecule: transfer RNA, 74 nt
Filed under: Podarcis lilfordi (Lilford's wall lizard)
Lineage: Eukaryota; Metazoa; Chordata; Lepidosauria; Squamata; Lacertidae
Rfam family: tRNA
About the family: Transfer RNA (tRNA) molecules are approximately 80 nucleotides in length.
Source: Rfam by way of RNAcentral